This 518-nucleotide ribosomal RNA is filed under the name uncultured soil bacterium. RNAcentral describes it as "bacterial SSU rRNA". It matches the Rfam family "Bacterial small subunit ribosomal RNA", at positions 26 to 515 of the family's 1533-position model. The record is from RNAcentral.
AGAUUGAACGCUGGCGGCAGGCCUAACACAUGCAAGUCGAGCGGUAGAGAGGUGCUUGCACCUCUUGAGAGCGGCGGACGGGUGAGUAAAGCCUAGGAAUCUGCCUGGUAGUGGGGGAUAACGCUCGGAAACGGACGCUAAUACCGCAUACGUCCUACGGGAGAAAGCAGGGGACCUUCGGGCCUUGCGCUAUCAGAUGAGCCUAGGUCGGAUUAGCUAGUUGGUGAGGUAAUGGCUCACCAAGGCGACGAUCCGUAACUGGUCUGAGAGGAUGAUCAGUCACACUGGAACUGAGACACGGUCCAGACUCCUACGGGAGGCAGCAGUGGGGAAUAUUGGACAAUGGGCGAAAGCCUGAUCCAGCCAUGCCGCGUGUGUGAAGAAAGGUCUUCGGUAAUUGUAAAACGCGAACUUUAAAGUUAGGGUAGGAAAGGGAGAUUAACCGUAAAUUAACGUUAAGUUGUUUGACGUUACCGACUAAGAAAUAAGACACCGGACUAACGUACUGUGCCAGCACG